Molecule: long non-coding RNA, 2793 nt
Organism: Olea europaea var. sylvestris
Lineage: Eukaryota; Viridiplantae; Streptophyta; Magnoliopsida; Lamiales; Oleaceae
Exons: 3
Source: RefSeq, a predicted model, not a curated record
UUAUCUCUUUCAUUCUUUUGUAUUCAUUUCUUCAUCCAUUUGAAGUUCUGAUUUCGAUUCAGAUCUACUCUAGUUCGUUUCUUUUCUCAAAUUUUUGUUAUGUUAUCCUUGUAGAUCGUGAAGUGAUCUACGUUCUCAGUAUGGCUUCAAUAGCUUUGCUGGGAUUGAUUGUUCGACGAGUGUUUGGUGCCGUCAACGGAGAAAAUCUGUGAAUCGCUUUGCAUCGAUGGAGCACGGUUAGAUCUGGGCUCAAUUCAGCUGACGGAUCAAUGUAACUCGCAGUUCUGUUGGAUAAAGAAAUGGCUUCUACUGACAAUUCGUUGCAGUUUACGCUCUUUUUAUGGUAUCUAUACUCGUCAUGGUGUCCGAGCAGAGACAUCUAUUCUUGUUGAUGCUCAAGGCCCGAAAUCAUUUGCGGAUGCUGGAUGAUGGACUUAGAAAGGAUAAAAAUUCUGUCUACAUGGAUACAAGGUUCUAACAUGUUUAAUGGCUUUCAUAAUUAUGAUUCAUUUAAUGUUAAUUCGAAAAAAUGAGCUAGAAGUAGUUGUGACAAGAUAUUGAGAAAAGAGAGGCUAUGUGUAAGAAAAGAGUGGCUUAUGUUCGUCUCGCCGACCUUUGCCAUGUCGGGUGCGCUCACAUGGCAGGUCAAAAGCUCAAUAAAAUACAUAAUAUUUUUGAUUUUGAGGAGAGAUGGUACGGGGAUUUUUGCCCGGCUCUCUCCUCCGCGUGUGGUGUCUUUUUAUUCUUUUCCUUUCCCUCCUCGUUCUCGUUUCUAUUGCUGCGAUAAUUUUAUUUCUGUUUGGUCCUUGAAUGGGUUGGGGCCUUUUCCUGUGUUACAAAGAUGUCAUGAAACCCGUUCAAGGAUAAAGCAUAAUUUAUUUUUUUCCCGGAGCAAAGUCACCAGUAAGUCGCCAAUGCCAGAAUGGGUCUUCUCAAGUAUCAACGAUUUCCCAAGGUACAAUGUUAGAUAUUUAUUAGAUAGCAUCUGAUUGAUUAAAAACAUUUCAAACUUACAAUUGUUUAGCCAUUCCAUCUCAUAUUAAAGUUGAGCGGUUAGAUAGGAAAGCUAUGUCUGCAAAAAUUAGGCUUUAUUUUGUGUUUCAAGAUUUAGCAGUUUUUGAUAAAAGUUUGUUAAAAUGUGGAGAACAUAAACGCUGCUUGUCCCGAGAUGUUUUUGAUAAACUUUCAGCCAUGAUAUUUUUUAUUAAACAAGCUACAUAUUAACUUGCUUAAUAUAUUGGUAUUUUCUUGACCAUGUACCAAACUUCUUGCAAUCUCAUGAUUUGAGGGGUAACUUCUCGGAAUAUCCUUACUAUCUUGGAUUUUGGGUAAACACUCAAUUGAAAGCUUAAGAAUUUUUGAAUGGUGAUCAUUUAUUUCGUCCAUCUAUAAUUAAAUACCAUUCCUGAAUUUGCCGAAGAAUAGAAAGGCUCAAAUCAAUUUGUUGUCAUAAUGUUUUGGUGAACGUCAAACAUGGUUAUUUGGCAAAUCCAAUUUUACCGGAGAUAUCAUAAAUAUGUUUCACAUGUAAUUUACAUAUGGCAAUGUUAACAAAAUUAUCUUAUCUACUAUCCCGAUCCUGAAUUCGUAACGUUCACUAUGAAGAUCAAUCCUGAGCAACUAACAAUUUUCGCUUCAAUUCAGUUGUAUAGUACAAAGUACGAGCGGAAUUUAUUGCUUGUUGUAGCUUUAUUUUUCCUGGUCCUAUACAUAUAUGAAUCUUAUUCGUACUGUUUUUUACCUGGUGUUGAAUUUAUUUUGUCAUUCUUGGGUCAUUAUCCUGCUGGAGUGUAUUGUAGAUUUAUUGGUAUUGACCAGAAGCCUUCUUUCUGUAAUGUAAUUGAAGGCCAUUACGCAUGGUAUGUAGAUGAGGAAUGCAGAUCUUUUUGAUUUAUACACUAGAUCAGCGUUUCUCCAUUUUCCUUCCAUGGGAAAAUGUUUGCAACUUUUUGUGUCAUGUUGGUUUGGAUUGCCUCACGGAGUGGAAAUACAUGAAGAUGAUCCUGUUUGUUUUUGCUGUUGAUCCGCUGCUGCUGCCUCUGCCUCUGCCUCUGCUGCUGCUGCUGCUGCUAUUGCUAUACUUGAUACUUCAAGAUGCCUCAUCCUUCAAAGCAUCUAGAACCUGUGGAUUGCGAUGAAUGUUUGUGAUAUAUCUCAUUUAAUGCUUGUGCCAUGUUCAUUCCUUUGUGCUGUCCCUGCAAACUUGCUGAAGGUGCGUGCUGCUGCUGCUUGAUAUCUAUGAUUUGGCCAGUCCUGUGUUACAAUAUGCACAGGCUGAUCAUCAAAAUUCUUCACUCUUGAUACUGUUUUAGUGAACUGUUAAUCCUAUAAACGAUGCUAUUUGUUGAGUUCCUCAUUCACAAACUGGUGGCCAUAAAUGGUGUUAAUGUUCAUGACGGUUGUUGAUAUGGAUCUUGUAUCGCUUUGCUUCUGCACUAUAAGUUGUUUAUGUCGAUAAUUAUUCGAGGCGGUUGAUCAGUUACAGUUAUUUGAUGUAGUUCAUGGUGGACUUGGGAUCUAUUUCGUUGUGUUUAUAGGGAUGAACAUUAGCCUUGGGAGAAAGUUAAGUGAGGUACAUGUCCAAGGCGCUGUUUUAAAACCACUGUAAGUGGGAAUACAUUUAUAAUUGUAUUUACAAGUAAUAUAUAGUCGAGAAAUUUGCGUGUUGAGGUUUUGAUUAUUUUAUGUAUUUAGAGGAGAAAAUAAGCUAUGAAUGUUUAGUAGUUUUCCUCAUCCCUAAGAACUGUCGACCAAACAUACACUGCCUUGAGGCGGGUACCUGCUCGAUGCGUA